GACGAACGCUGGCGGCGUGCUUAACACAUGCAAGUCGAGCGGUAAGGCCCUUUCGGGGGUACACGAGCGGCGAACGGGUGAGUAACACGUGGGUGACCUGCCCUCAGCUCUGGGAUAAGCCUGGGAAACCGGGUCUAAUACUGGAUAUGACUCCAUGACGCAUGUUGUGGGGUGGAAAGCCUUGUGCGGCUGAGGAUGGGCCCGCGGCCUAUCAGCUUGUUGGUGGGGNGAUGGCCUACCAAGGCGACGACGGGUAGCCGGCCUGAGAGGGCGACCGGCCACACUGGGA
RNAcentral lists this ribosomal RNA (289 nucleotides) under uncultured bacterium. RNAcentral's name for it is "partial 16S ribosomal RNA". It matches the Rfam family "Bacterial small subunit ribosomal RNA", at positions 28 to 318 of the family's 1533-position model. The record is from RNAcentral.